Sapajus apella (tufted capuchin) is the source of this 959-nucleotide long non-coding RNA. RefSeq lists it as uncharacterized. The transcript has 3 exons. Lineage: Eukaryota; Metazoa; Chordata; Mammalia; Primates; Cebidae. The record is from RefSeq and is a predicted model, not a curated record.
ACGAGCGCCGCGCCGCGCCGCCUCAGUCUCCACCGGCGGGCAGCCUAGGCAGUUGUGCUUUCGGCGUCUUCCUUCCGCGCCCGCAAACGCGUUCUCCGCUCCGUCCGCCUCACUAGUUGUUUUUCGGGGCGGCUGGGCCACGCGCCUGUGGGGCUGGGCCCGGAGCCAGCGGCCGAGCCUUUGGCGCGCGGCGGCGGUGACGGCGGCGUCGGUGGCGGCUGGGUCGGGCCCCGACGGGCGGCAGCGGCUGAGGUGGAGGCGGAAGGAGGCGGUGGCAGCAGAGGAGGGAAGAUGGCGGCGCCCGUCCUGCUGAGAGUGUCGGUGCCGCCGUGGGAGCUGGUAGCCUGGUACGCCGUGUGCGGAUCCUGCUGUCCAUCUACGCCGACCAUGUGGAGCGGGAGAAGGAGCGGGACCUCGAGCACCAGGCCCUCUGCAACCUAGAGCCCUAGGUGAAGUGCUCCGCCGCCUUUGCCUCCAGAAUCCUUGCCCGGAGUCCAGCGCCUCCUUCCUGUCCAGGAUCACCUUCUGGUGGAUCACAGGAGUUGUCUUGAAUCUGCCUGUGCUGGCCAUGUAGUCUCAGAGACACCAACUCUGUCCCCCAAGUCCAUCACCUUGAAUGUGAUAAACACAUGAGCCAUGAGCAGCUUAAAUCUCUGCGGAAGGCUUGGCCUGGGACAGCCAUACACUGGACUGCUCUUACUUUAGCUUCAGAUUUGGGUUUUUAUUUCUUGCCUAGACAUCAUGUUCAAUCUGACAGAUUUCGUUUUUUUAAAUAUUAGGUAUAGUUAUUAUUGACUUUGUUCCCCUCCUGUCCCCCACUCCUUAGAAAAAUAAUACUGUCUCAGCAUAGGAAACGUGGGUUAAAAAAAAGUGUGGAUUAGUAGUAAGGAAACACCCAGAGGCAACCACUGUCACCAUUUUAGUUUGCCUCCUUCUGGUCUUUUCUUUUUGAGAUGGAA